Molecule: ribosomal RNA, 253 nt
Filed under: uncultured bacterium
Lineage: Bacteria
Description: partial 16S ribosomal RNA
Rfam family: Bacterial small subunit ribosomal RNA
Source: RNAcentral
UACGGAGGGUGCAAGCGUUAAUCGGAAUUACUGGGCGUAAAGCGUGCGUAGGUGGUUUGUUAAGUCCGUUGUGAAAGCCCCGAGCUCAACUUGGGAAUUGCAGUGGAUACUGGCAGGCUGGAGUACGGUAGAGGAAGGUGGAAUUCCCGGUGUAGCAGUGAAAUGCGUAGAUAUCGGGAGGAACACCAGUGGCGAAGGCGGCCUUCUGGACCAGUACUGACGCUCAUGCACGAAAGCGUGGGGAGCAAACAGG